This 344-nucleotide ribosomal RNA is filed under the name uncultured Campylobacter sp. Its description in RNAcentral is "bacterial SSU rRNA". It matches the Rfam family "Bacterial small subunit ribosomal RNA", at positions 8 to 350 of the family's 1533-position model. Lineage: Bacteria; Pseudomonadati; Campylobacterota; Epsilonproteobacteria; Campylobacterales; Campylobacteraceae. The record is from RNAcentral.
AGAGUUUGAUCAUGGCUCAGAGUGAACGCUGGCGGCGUGCCUAAUACAUGCAAGUCGAACGGAAUUUAAAAGAGCUUGCUCUUUUAAAUUUAGUGGCGCACGGGUGAGUAAUAUAUAGCUAAUCUGCCCCUUGCUGGAGGACAACAGUUAGAAAUGACUGCUAAUACUCCAUACUCCUUUUUACCAUAAGAUAAAUCGGGAAAGAAUUUCGGCAAGGGAUGAGACUAUAUCGUAUCAGCUAGUCGGUGGGGUAACGGCCUACCGAGGCUAUGACGCGUAACUGGUCUGAGAGGAUGAUCAGUCACAUUGGAACUGAGACACGGUCCAAACUCCUACGGGAGGCA